AUACUUGGCAAGGUCGGACGGAACUCUGGUAUUGAUUGGUGCUUGCAUCAUGAUUUACAUUUGAGUGAGUGGCGAACUGGUGAGUAACACGUGGGAAACCUGCCCAGAAGCGGGGGAUAACACCUGGAAACAGAUGCUAAUACCGCAUAACAACUUGGACCGCAUGGUCCGAGCUUGAAAGAUGGCUUCGGCUAUCACUUUUGGAUGGUCCCGCGGCGUAUUAGCUAGAUGGUGGGGUAACGGCUCACCAUGGCAAUGAUACGUAGCCGACCUGAGAGGGUAAUCGGCCACAUUGGGACUGAGACACGGCCCAAACUCCUACGGGAGGCAGCAGUAGGGAAUCUUCCACAAUGGACGAAAGUCUGAUGGAGCAACGCCGCGUGAGUGAAGAAGGGUUUCGGCUCGUAAAACUCUGUUGUUAAAGAAGAACAUAUCUGAGAGUAACUGUUCAGGUAUUGACGGUAUUUAACCAGAAAGCCACGGCUAACUACGUGCCAGCAGCCGCGGUAAUACGUAGGUGGCAAGCGUUGUCCGGAUUUAUUGGGCGUAAAGCGAGCGCAGGCGGUUUUUUAAGUCUGAUGUGAAAGCCUUCGGCUCAACCGAAGAAGUGCAUCGGAAACUGGGAAACUUGAGUGCAGAAGAGGACAGUGGAACUCCAUGUGUAGCGGUGAAAUGCGUAGAUAUAUGGAAGAACACCAGUGGCGAAGGCGGCUGUCUGGUCUGUAACUGACGCUGAGGCUCGAAAGUAUGGGUAGCAAACAGGAUUAGAUACCCUGGUAGUCCAUACCGUAAACGAUGAAUGCUAAGUGUUGGAGGGUUUCCGCCCUUCAGUGCUGCAGCUAACGCAUUAAGCAUUCCGCCUGGGGAGUACGGCCGCAAGGCUGAAACUCAAAGGAAUUGACGGGGGCCCGCACAAGCGGUGGAGCAUGUGGUUUAAUUCGAAGCUACGCGAAGAACCUUACCAGGUCUUGACAUACUAUGCAAAUCUAAGAGAUUAGACGUUCCCUUCGGGGACAUGGAUACAGGUGGUGCAUGGUUGUCGUCAGCUCGUGUCGUGAGAUGUUGGGUUAAGUCCCGCAACGAGCGCAACCCUUAUUAUCAGUUGCCAGCAUUAAGUUGGGCACUCUGGUGAGACUGCCGGUGACAAACCGGAGGAAGGUGGGGAUGACGUCAAAUCAUCAUGCCCCUUAUGACCUGGGCUACACACGUGCUACAAUGGAUGGUACAACGAGUUGCGAACUCGCGAGAGUAAGCUAAUCUCUUAAAGCCAUUCUCAGUUCGGAUUGUAGGCUGCAACUCGCCUACAUGAAGUCGGAAUCGCUAGUAAUCGCGGAUCAGCAUGCCGCGGUGAAUACGUUCCCGGGCCUUGUACACACCGCCCGUCACACCAUGAGAGUUUGUUAAACGACCCCCAAAA
This 1417-nucleotide ribosomal RNA is filed under the name Lactiplantibacillus plantarum. RNAcentral's name for it is "bacterial SSU rRNA". It matches the Rfam family "Bacterial small subunit ribosomal RNA". The record is from RNAcentral. Lineage: Bacteria; Bacillati; Bacillota; Bacilli; Lactobacillales; Lactobacillaceae.